Non-coding RNA from Oncorhynchus mykiss (rainbow trout), 1380 nucleotides. Lineage: Eukaryota; Metazoa; Chordata; Actinopteri; Salmoniformes; Salmonidae. The record is from RefSeq and is a predicted model, not a curated record.
CAAUGUGACCUGCUUUCAACAUGGAUUGAAGAGACAAUAGCUGGAUGGUAGCACAGCUCCUCUCUAAAACCACUCUGAUGUUGUUUUCUCACACUGUCUGACUGUGUUAUAUCAGACAGGUAGACAGUUCCCCCUCACACUGUCUGACUGUGUUAUAUCAGACAGGUAGACAGUUCCCCCUCACACUGUCUGACUGUGUUAUAUCAGACAGGCAGACAGUGUUAUAUCAGACAGGUAGACAGUUCCCCUCACACUGUGUUAUAUCAGACAGGUAGACAGUUCCCCCUCACACUGUCUGACUGUGUUAUAUCAGACAGGCAGACAGUGUUAUAUCAGACAGGUAGACAGUUCCCCUCACACUGUGUUAUAUCAGACAGGUAGACAGUUCCCCCUCACACUGUCUGACUGUGUUAUAUCAGACAGGCAGACAGUGUUAUAUCAGACAGGUAGACAGCUCCCCCUCACACUGUGUUAUAUCAGACAGGCAGACAGUUCCCCUCACAUUGUCUGACUGUGUUAUAUCAGACAGGUAGACUGCUCCUCCUCACACUGUGUUAUAUCAGACAGGUAGACAGUUCCCCUCACACUGCGUUGUAUCAGACAGGUAGACAGGUAGACCGUGUUAUAUCAGACAGGUAGACAGGUAGACUGUGUUAUAUCAGACAGGUAGACAGGUAGACUGUGUUAUAUCAGACAGGUAGACAGGUAGACUGUGUUAUAUCAGACAGGUAGACAGCUCCUCCUCACACUGUGUUAUCUCAGACAGGUAGACAGUUCCCCUCACACUGUGUUAUCUCAGACAGGUAGACAGUCUCCUCACACUGUGUUAUCUCAGACAGGUAGACUGUGUUAUAUCAGACAGGUAGACAGCUCCCCUCACACUGUCUGACUGUGUUAUAUCAGACAGGUAGACUGUGUUAUAUCAGUCAGGUAGACAGCUCCCCCUCACACUGUGUUAUAUCAGACUGGUAGACAGUUCCCCCUCACACUGUGUUAUAUCAGACAGGUAGACUGUGUUAUAUCAGACAGGUAGACAGCUCUCCUCAGACUGUGUUAUAUCAGACAGGUAGACAGUUCCCCCUCACACUGUGUUAUAUCAGACAGGUAGACAGCUCCCCCUCACACUGUGUUAUAUCAGACAGGUAGACAGCUCCCCCGCACACUGUGUUAUAUCAGACAGGUAGACAGCUCCCCCUCACACUGUGUUAUAUCAGACAGGUAGACAGCUCCCCCUCACACUGUGUUAUAUCAGACAGGUAGACAGCUCCCCCUCACACUGUGUUAUAUCAGACAGGUAGACAGCUCCCCCUCACACUGUGUUAUAUCAGACAGGUAGACAGUUCCCCUCACCCUGUCUGACUGUGUUAUAUCAGACAGGUA